Molecule: ribosomal RNA, 254 nt
Filed under: uncultured bacterium
Lineage: Bacteria
Description: partial 16S ribosomal RNA
Rfam family: Bacterial small subunit ribosomal RNA
Source: RNAcentral
UACAGGGGGUGCAAACGUUGCUCGGAAUUAUUGGGCGUAAAGCGCGCGUAGGCGGCUAUUUAAGUCGGAUGUGAAAGCCCCUGGCUCAACUGGGGAAGUGCACCCGAAACUGAAUGGCUUGAGUGCAAAAGAGGGCCGCGGAAUUCCCGGUGUAGAGGUGAAAUUCGUAGAUAUCGGGAGGAACACCGGUGGCGAAGGCGGAUCUCUGGGCCUGUCCUGACGCUGAGGCGCGAAAGCUAGGGGGAGCGAACAGG